ACCACGUGGUGGUCAACAAGAAUCAGUGAGAAGGUCAAAUGAACUCCUCCUUUAUCAGAGACAGAGUCCUGAAAGAAUUGGGCCGAAAAGUCUUUAAAAUUAAAGAAGGGUAAUGCAGAGAAUGAAGAGCUCGCUCAAGCAAAUCACUCAUAGAGUCAUAGAUGUCGAAAUGAAUGAAGAUAAAAAGGCCGAAAAAGACAAUGACAAAUGAGAGGAAAGAGAUGGAAAUUCCCCUGAAAAGACUUUAGGCAAAUGAACCCUAGAAAUUGAGAAGGAUGUGGUGGAUGAUAUAGAGAUGAAACGAAAGCAGAUGAUGAAGAAGUCAAGUCUGUAGAAGAAGUCAAGAAGGCAUUUGAAAUCCUGAAAUUACCCCACUCAGAUAUGAACGAAGAGAAAACAGCUUCUAGUGUUUUCCCGAGAAGGCAUGCCAAAACGAACACCAAGGAGAGGCCCAGGAAGGCAUGAACCAAAGCGAACACCAAUUCCUGAGAUUGCGAAAGAUGGUGCAGAAUGGUUCAUGCUAUGGGUCACUGAGCCACAGAGUGAUGGUGAUGACGAAGACCAACGAUCGUGAUGUAGGAGAGUGGUUAGAGGAUGAUGUGCCCAUUCUUCUUGUGAGGGAUCAAAGAUGGAAGGGUAGGUUUUUCCCUUGAGGCGGAGGUUUCACCUAUGAGAUGGAGGUUCAAUCCCCUUUGUGAGGUUUUUCCUGGAAUUGGUGCAUCUUGAUCUUGGUAGGCCCGAGCUUCCAUUCAGCUGGAAUAGUGGCCAGCUCUUGGUUUCGGCCCAUGUUAUAGAUUUCCUAACUUAAUGUAUCAGCAUUUCAACUUUCCCUGUUGCUGUUACUGUUAGUUGGCAAUUGGCAAAGGUUUUUUCAAUAUACAUUCAGGUAUUUGCAAUACAAGCAGUAGCACAAGGCGCCAAAGACCAGUGAUUUGCAGACUUCAUGAUUGAAUUAGGCAAGUGCUA
Long non-coding RNA from Erigeron canadensis, 966 nucleotides. RefSeq lists it as uncharacterized. NCBI's taxonomy places the organism in Eukaryota, Viridiplantae, Streptophyta, Magnoliopsida, Asterales, Asteraceae. The record is from RefSeq and is a predicted model, not a curated record. The transcript has 4 exons.